This 117-nucleotide small RNA is filed under the name Sinorhizobium meliloti 2011. RNAcentral describes it as "putative ncRNA". The record is from RNAcentral. Lineage: Bacteria; Pseudomonadati; Pseudomonadota; Alphaproteobacteria; Hyphomicrobiales; Rhizobiaceae.
GAUAUUGUGGAACGCCGCGACCCGGCCGCUCAGCUCACCGGUGUCGAAAUUGGCACCGAUCUCGAAUCCUUUGCCGGUUUCCGGCUUGAGAUCCGGAUUGCCGAGCUGGGCAUAGUU